Hemicordylus capensis (graceful crag lizard) is the source of this 1400-nucleotide long non-coding RNA. RefSeq lists it as uncharacterized. Lineage: Eukaryota; Metazoa; Chordata; Lepidosauria; Squamata; Cordylidae. The record is from RefSeq and is a predicted model, not a curated record. The transcript is spliced from 3 exons.
CGACCUGGGUCACGGGAGAUUCAGUUUGGACUAGGUACUUGGUAGUGAUUUGUUCUUUUGUGCUUCUUUACAGACACAGAGCAACUCCUGAGCUACCAGCUUCUCUGAUAGUGACCUGGGACCAGACUGUGGACAGACAAACUCGUGACAACAAGUGAAAGAUGACCUAAGAAAACUACCAGCGAUACGGUGCUCACUUUCCCCAGCUGUUAUUUAGUGAUGCCAUUGCUCAUGAUCUAUCAGGCUGGGAUCCUCCAUCCAUCUGCUGACAUUCAAAAGGGUACUCUUCUGAAAGAAUGUUUUUUUCUCAUAGCCAACUGUGAACAACUUCACUUGAAUACAGCAAACGGGGAAAGAUGCUCUCUCUGGACACAGAAGGGAAUAGUUUCAGUAGCCUGCAAAAUUAUGUGUUAUUAGCAUUUCAAAGGCUCUGAAUGCAGAGUUGAUGGCAAGAUGUGAAUGCUGGAGGAAGAAACAACCCAUGUGGAAUUGUAAAUGUUUCAUCUGUGGAUAACAGUAGCAAUUUUGCGGUGCUUGGGGACUGUCACCGAAAUGUCAGAAGCAAAGAGGAUAGCUUUACGGAGGAAUGAGAAGGUGACUUUGAAAGUGCUAAAAAUUAGUGCGUGUCUGUAUAAGUGUCCCCUUUAGAAGUUUUGAUUGGUCCUUUUUUCUCUAGUAGUCUAAAAGUCAGGACCGAUAUAUUAUGGCAGACAUAGAGCUGCCACCAAAAACAGCAGCUCCAUCUUUCCUUUUCUCCCCGAAGAUCUAGGGAUAUGCAGCAUGUGACAUGAUGACAUCACAAUGUGAGUUUUCCCACCUAUGCAAGCAGCAGCCAAUGCAUCAAGGAUUAUCCAUAGGAUCUGGCAAGCAUCUCUAGUUAUUAUGGGAAGAAAGGAGAAAGAGACACAGGACUACCAUUUUCAGCAGCAGUUCAUAUCUUCUGUAGUAUCUAGUUCCAGCCUAAGUUAUAAAACCACUUCUUGAGUAUUUGGACUGUCAGAUCUACUUGCAAAUCUCAAUGGCCCAUUUGUAGUUGAAUAUCUCAGGGCAGAAGACAGCGAUUCAGUUCUAUAGCCUCAGGCAACUUGUGUUGCUAAUCUCAUUAGUAAGAACUACAGGGAUGUGAUCUGAGUGUCCAAACCUCUCCCAAUACCUUCACUCCAUCAGGAUCAUUCUGUUUCUGCUGUCAUCAUCAGUGAGUCUAUUGGCUCAUGUACAUGACCAGAUGUCCUCAGUGGUUCAGGAAUGAAUGUGGUAGAAAUUUGGUUGCUUGUACACUUCCACAAGAAUAAAUGAGGGGAAUAUGCAUAAAUGCAAGUGUGUAGUUUGUCUCUAAUUGGGCUAGCCAUCCUUAAUUCUAAACAAACAAAAUGCCCAGAUUAAUGAUAUCCAGAUGUUCA